UGCAAGUCGAACGGUAACGCGGGGGCAACCCUGGCGACGAGUGGCGAACGGGUGAGUAAUACAUCGGAACAUAUCCAGUAGCGGGGGAUAACCUAUCGAAAGAUGGACUAAUACCGCAUACGAUCUACGGAUGAAAGCAGGGGACCGCAAGGCCUUGCACUAUUGGAGUGGCCGAUGUCGGAUUAGCUAGUUGGUGGGGUAAAAGCUUACCAAGGCGACGAUCCGUAGCUGGUCUGAGAGGACGAUCAGCCACACUGGAACUGAGACACGGUCCAGACUCCUACGGGAGGCAGCAGUGGGGAAUUUUGGACAAUGGGCGCAAGCCUGAUCCAGCCAUGCCGCGUGAGUGAAGAAGGCCUUCGGGUUGUAAAGCUCUUUCGGUGAAGACGAAACGGUUAGCGCUAAUAACGCUGACUAAUGACGGUACUCACAGAAGAAGCACCGGCUAACUACGUGCCAGCAGCCGCGGUAAUACGUAGGGUGCAGGCGUUAAUCGGAAUUACUGGGCGUAAAGCGUGCGCAGGCGGUUUGCUAAGACAGGUGUGAAAUCCCCGAGCUUAACUUGGGAAUUGCGCUUGUAACUGGCAGGCUAGAGUGUAGCAGAGGGGGGUGGAAUUCCACGUGUAGCAGUGAAAUGCGUAGAUAUGUGGAGGAACACCGAUGGCGUAGGCAGCCCCCUGGGUUAACACUGACGCUCAUGCACGAAAGCGUGGGGAGCAAACAGGAUUAGAUACCCUGGUAGUCCACGCCCUAAACUAUGUCAACUAGUUGUCGGGGAAGAAAUUCCUUGGUAACGAAGCUAACGCGUGAAGUUGACCGCCUGGGGAGUACGGCCGCAAGGUUAAAACUCAAAGGAAUUGACGGGGACCCGCACAAGCGGUGGAUUAUGUGGAUUAAUUCGAUGCAACGCGAAAAACC
Molecule: ribosomal RNA, 918 nt
Filed under: uncultured soil bacterium
Lineage: Bacteria
Description: bacterial SSU rRNA
Rfam family: Bacterial small subunit ribosomal RNA
Source: RNAcentral